Molecule: ribosomal RNA, 664 nt
Filed under: uncultured archaeon
Lineage: Archaea
Description: bacterial SSU rRNA
Rfam family: Archaeal small subunit ribosomal RNA
Source: RNAcentral
CCGACGGUGAGGGGUGAAAGCUGGGGGAGCAAACCGGAUUAGAUACCCGGGUAGUCCCAGCUGUAAACUAUGCAAACUCAGUGAUGCAUUGGCUUGUGGCCAAUGCAGUGCUGCAGGGAAGCCGUUAAGUUUGCCGCCUGGGAAGUACGUACGCAAGUAUGAAACUUAAAGGAAUUGGCGGGGGAGCACCACAAGGGGUGAAGCCUGCGGUUCAAUUGGAGUCAACGCCAGAAAUCUUACCCGGAGAGACAGCAGAAUGAAGGUCAAGCUGAAGACUUUACCAGACAAGCUGAGAGGUGGUGCAUGGCCGUCGCCAGCUCGUGCCGUGAGAUGUCCUGUUAAGUCAGGUAACGAGCGAGAUCCCUGCCUCUAGUUGCCACCAUUACUCUCAGGAGUAGUGGGGCGAAUUAGCGGGACCGCCGCAGUUAAUGCGGAGGAAGGAAGGGGCCACGGCAGGUCAGUAUGCCCCGAAACUCUGGGGCCACACGCGGGCUGCAAUGGUAACGACAAUGAGUUUCAAAAUCGAAAGAUGGAGGCAAUCUCUAAACGUUACCACAGUUAUGAUUGAGGGCUGCAACUCGCCCUCAUGAAUAUGGAAUCCCUAGUAACCGCGUGUCAUUAUCGCGCAGUGAAUACGUCCCUGCUCCUUGCACUCACCGCCCGU